RNAcentral lists this unclassified non-coding RNA (400 nucleotides) under uncultured Cortinarius. Its description in RNAcentral is "sequence contains ITS2". The stretch from base 1 to 154 matches the Rfam family "5.8S ribosomal RNA". Lineage: Eukaryota; Fungi; Basidiomycota; Agaricomycetes; Agaricales; Cortinariaceae. The record is from RNAcentral.
AACUUUUAGCAACGGAUCCCUUGACUCUCGCAUCGAUGAAGAACGCAGCGAAAUGCGAUAAGUACUGUGAAUUGCAGAAUUCAGUGAAUCAUCGAAUCUUUGAACGCACCUUGCGCUCCUUGGUAUUCCGAGGAGCAUGCCUGUUUGAGUGUCAUUAAUAUAUCAACCUUCUCUUUUUGAGUGGUUUGGAUGUGGGGGUUUGCUGGCCUCUUAAAAGGUCUUGGCUCUCCUGAGAUACAUUAGCAGAACAACCCUGUUCAUUGGUGUGAUAACUAUCUACGCUAUUGAAUGUGAAGGGCAGUUUGGCUUUCUAACAGUCCUUGGACAAGCUCAUCAUUAAUGUGACCUCAAAUCAGGUAGGACUACCCGCUGAACUUAAGCAUAUCAAUAAGCGGAGGCU